This 76-nucleotide transfer RNA is filed under the name Chaetobranchopsis orbicularis. RNAcentral's name for it is "tRNA-Trp". It matches the Rfam family "tRNA". Rfam says of the family: Transfer RNA (tRNA) molecules are approximately 80 nucleotides in length. RNAcentral also lists the same sequence under 1 other name. Lineage: Eukaryota; Metazoa; Chordata; Actinopteri; Cichliformes; Cichlidae. The record is from RNAcentral.
AGGGACUUAGGAUAACAUUAUUUUAGACCAAGAGCCUUCAAAGCUCUAAGUGAGAGUGAAAACCUCUCAGUCCCUG